AGUGAACGCUGGCGGUAGGCCUAACACAUGCAAGUCGAACGGCAGGACAGUAAGAGCUUGCCCUUACGGGAGGCGAGGGGCGGACGGGUGAGGAAUACAUCGGAAUCUACUUUUUCGUGGGGGAUAAUGUAGGGAAACUUACGCUAAUAGCUCAUACGACCUACGGGUGAAAGCAGGGGAUCUUCGGACCUUGCGCGAUUGCAUGAGCCGAUGUCGGAUUAGCUAGUUGGCGGGGUAAAGGCCCACCAAGGCGACGAUCCGUAGCGGGUCUGAGAGGAUGAUCGGCCACACUGGAGCUGAGACACGGUCCAGACUACUACGGGAGGCGGCAGUGGGGAAUAUUGGACAAUGGGCGCAAGCCUGAUCCAGCCAUACCGCGUGGGUGAAGAAGGCCUUCGGGUUGUAAAGCCCUUUUGUUGGGAAAGAACAGCAGCAGGUUAAUACCCCGCUGUUCUGACGGUACCCAAAGAAUAAGCACCGGCUAACUUCGUG
RNAcentral lists this ribosomal RNA (492 nucleotides) under uncultured bacterium. Its description in RNAcentral is "partial 16S ribosomal RNA". It matches the Rfam family "Bacterial small subunit ribosomal RNA", at positions 29 to 507 of the family's 1533-position model. The record is from RNAcentral.